This 1123-nucleotide long non-coding RNA is filed under the name Serinus canaria (Common canary). RNAcentral describes it as "lncRNA (ENSSCAG00000015606.1)". The stretch from base 38 to 121 matches the Rfam family "Small nucleolar SNORD12/SNORD106". The record is from RNAcentral. Lineage: Eukaryota; Metazoa; Chordata; Aves; Passeriformes; Fringillidae.
CUUCCCGCCGAGCUCACACGGAGCUCCCCUGGCUUUCGCUGGUAGAGGUGAUGACUCUUUCCCCGUCAGAGCGGCAGUGCUGACUAUCGCUCUCCAAGCCAGGUCGUUCUGAUGCACCAGCGAAGCGGCCGGGGGCCGGUGCUGACCGUCCGCUGCUCCCGUUGCUCACUGUGCUUUGUUUCCCCGUAGGACGGUGGAGCCCACGGCGCCUGCGGGAGCCCCGUGCCCGGACCCAGGCCGGCGAUGGGGGCGCUUCCCCGGCGAGGGCCGGCAGGCCCGAGCCUCUGCCGGGACCAGACGGGCACUGAAGGCAGAAGUAGGGGGCUGAGCCUUAAAGAGACCUGAAGUUCGGGCUGCAGCUGACAGUGAAGAGGUGUGUGAUGUGGGCAGUUGUCUGGUUUGCUCCACCAUGCCUGAGUCUCUAGCAAAUAAUGGGCACUGAAGGUGGAAGUGGGUUGAGCCUUUGGGAGACCUGAAGUUAAAGCUGCAGCUCACAAUGCAGAGGUGUGGAUGAGGACAUUGUCUGGUUUGCUCCAACAUGUGUGCCCCUUUGUCGGGGGAGAAUGGUUGAGAUUUAUAAAGAUUUGUCCUGGGCCCUGCUGGAGUUGGAGUGUUCUGCUUAAGAAGAUGGAUGGUUCUGCUGCUCCCAUGCUGCUGCCUGGCAUCCUCAUUCAAGCCACAGCAUUCCCAUACCCUGCAAUAGCUCUGACCUCGAAGCUGUCAGGAGUGAUGGAUUUGUGUAUUGCCAGCUUAGGUGGAGGGUGUAACAUUUUCUGUUCCCUGAGUACAAGGCAUGUAACUGGAAUGGGUUCUGGAAGUUUCUGCAUGUUUAAUGCAGUUAGAUGCUUUUGUCUGCAGGGGCUGCAUUCCCUGCCUGGCAGCUCAUGUUGUCCUGCCACAGUCAUGCAAGGCAAGGAAGCCUUUCCUGGGAGCAGCUGUCCGGUAUUGGGAGGAUGGCCUUGUGUGAAAGGGAGUCAGGACUUGCUUCUCCCCUGCCAUCCAGAAAGCUGCAGGGGUGUGAAGUGGGCAAGAGGUGUCUGGGAUGCUGCAGCACAGUGUGUUUCUGUACUGUUGAAAGCCUAGUUUUAAUAAAAUCUUAAAUAAUGGGUUGAUUUGGCUGGUA